UACGUAGGGGGCGAGCGUUGUCCGGAUUUAUUGGGCGUAAAGAGCUCGUAGGCGGUUCGAUAAGUCGGACGUGAAAUCUCCACCGCUCACCGGGGAGGGGCCGUUGGAUACUGCAGAUCUGGAGUUCGGUAGAGGGUCGUGGAAUUUCGGGUGUAGCGGUGGAAUGCGUAGAUAUCCGAAAGAACACCGGUGGCGAAGGCGACUUUCUGGCCUGUUCUUGACGCUGAGGCGCGAAAGCUAGGGGAGCAAACGGG
Molecule: ribosomal RNA, 254 nt
Filed under: uncultured bacterium
Lineage: Bacteria
Description: partial 16S ribosomal RNA
Rfam family: Bacterial small subunit ribosomal RNA
Source: RNAcentral